RNAcentral lists this ribosomal RNA (1251 nucleotides) under metagenome. RNAcentral describes it as "bacterial LSU rRNA". It matches the Rfam family "Bacterial large subunit ribosomal RNA", at positions 1635 to 2878 of the family's 2925-position model. The record is from RNAcentral.
UAUACGACCGUACCGCAAACCGACACUGGUGCGCGAGAUGAGUAUUCUAAGGCGCUUGAGAGAACUCAGGAGAAGGAACUCGGCAAAUUGACACCGUAACUUCGGAAGAAGGUGUGCCCUAUUAGUGUGUAGUGAACAACGAAGCAUGAAUGGGUUGCAAAAAAUCGGUGGCUGCGACUGUUUAUUAAAAACACAGCACUCUGCAAACACGAAAGUGGACGUAUAGGGUGUGACGCCUGCCCGGUGCUGGAAGAUUAAAUGAUGGGGUGCAAGCUCUUGAUUGAAGUCCCAGUAAACGGCGGCCGUAACAAUAACGGUCCUAAGGUAGCGAAAUUCCUUGUCGGGUAAGUUCCGACCUGCACGAAUGGCGUAACGAUGGCCACACUGUCUCCUCCUGAGACUCAGCGAAGUUGAAAUGUUUGUGAUGAUGCAAUCUCCCCGCGGAAAGACGGAAAGACCCCAUGAACCUUUACUGUAGCUUUGUAUUGGACUUUGAACAGAUCUGUGUAGGAUAGGUGGGAGGCUUUGAAGCAGGGUCGCUAGAUCUUGUGGAGCCAACGUUGAAAUACCACCCUGGUGUGUUUGAGGUUCUAACCUAGGUCCAUUAUCUGGAUCGGGGACAGUGCAUGGUAGGCAGUUUGACUGGGGCGGUCUCCUCCCAAAGCGUAACGGAGGAGUUCGAAGGUACGCUAGUUACGGUCGGACAUCGUGACGAUAGUGCAAUGGCAUAAGCGUGCUUAACUGCGAGACUGACAAGUCGAGCAGAUGCGAAAGCAGGACAUAGUGAUCCGGUGGUUCUGUAUGGAAGGGCCAUCGCUCAACGGAUAAAAGGUACUCUGGGGAUAACAGGCUGAUACCGCCCAAGAGUUCAUAUCGACGGCGGUGUUUGGCACCUCGAUGUCGGCUCAUCUCAUCCUGGGGCUGUAGCCGGUCCCAAGGGUAUGGCUGUUCGCCAUUUAAAGAGGUACGUGAGCUGGGUUUAAAACGUCGUGAGACAGUUUGGUCCCUAUCUUCCGUGGGCGCUGCAGAUUUGAGGAAGCCUGCUCCUAGUACGAGAGGACCGGAGUGGACACACCUCUGGUGUAUCGGUUGUCACGCCAGUGGCAUUGCCGAGUAGCUAAGUGUGGAAGAGAUAACCGCUGAAAGCAUCUAAGCGGGAAACUCGUUUCAAGAUGAGAUCUGCCGGGGCCUUGAGCCCCCUAAAGAGUCGUUCAAGACCAGGACGUUGAUAGGUCAGGUGUGGAAGCUAAA